Molecule: ribosomal RNA, 253 nt
Filed under: uncultured bacterium
Lineage: Bacteria
Description: partial 16S ribosomal RNA
Rfam family: Bacterial small subunit ribosomal RNA
Source: RNAcentral
UACGUAGGUGGCAAGCGUUGUCCGGAUUUAUUGGGCGUAAAGCGCGCGCAGGUGGUUCUUUAAGUCUGAUGUGAAAGCCCACGGCUCAACCGUGGAAGGUCAUUGGAAACUGGGGAACUUGAGUGCAGAAGAGGAAAGUGGAAUUCCAAGUGUAGCGGUGAAAUGCGUAGAUAUUUGGAGGAACACCGGUGGCGAAGGCGACUUUCUGGUCUGUAACUGACGCUGAGGCGCGAAAGCGUGGGGAGCAAACAGG